UUCCGGUUGAUCCUGCCGGACCUGACUGCUAUCGGAUUGAUACUAAGCCAUGCGAGUCAUUGUAGCAAUACAAGGCAUACGGCUCAGUAACGCGUAGUCAACCUAACCUAUGGACGGGAAUAACCUCGGGAAACUGAGAAUAAUGCCCGAUAGAACAUUAUGCCUGGAAUGGUUUAUGUUCCAAAUGAUUUAUCGCCGUAGGAUGGGACUGCGGCCUAUCAGUUUGUUGGUGAGGUAAUGGCCCACCAAGACUAUUACAGGUACGGGCUCUGAGAGGAGUAGCCCGGAGAUGGGUACUGAGACACGGACCCAGGCCCUAUGGGGCGCAGCAGGCGAGAAAACUUUGCAAUGUGCGAAAGCACGACAAGGUUAAUCCGAGUGGUUUCUGCUAAAGAAACCUUUUGUCAGUCCUAGAAACACUGAUGAAUAAGGGGUGGGCAAGUUCUGGUGUCAGCCGCCGCGGUAAAACCAGCACCUCAAGUGGUCAGGAUGAUUAUUGGGCCUAAAGCAUCCGUAGCCGGCUCUGUAAGUUUUCGGUUAAAUCUGUACGCUCAACGUACAGGCUGCCGGGAAUACUGCAGAGCUAGGGAGUGGGAGAGGUAGACGGUACUCGGUAGGAAGGGGUAAAAUCCUUUGAUCUAUUGAUGACCACCUGUGGCGAAGGCGGUCUACCAGAACACGUCCGACGGUGAGGGAUGAAAGCUGGGGGAGCAAACCGGAUUAGAUACCCGGGUAGUCCCAGCUGUAAACUAUGCAAACUCAGUGAUGCAUUGGCUUGUGGCCAAUGCAGUGCUGCAGGGAAGCCGUUAAGUUUGCCGCCUGGGAAGUACGUACGCAAGUAUGAAACUUAAAGGAAUUGGCGGGGGAGCACCACAAGGGGUGAAGCCUGCGGUUCAAUUGGAUUCAACGCCGGG
RNAcentral lists this ribosomal RNA (914 nucleotides) under uncultured archaeon. RNAcentral's name for it is "bacterial SSU rRNA". It matches the Rfam family "Archaeal small subunit ribosomal RNA", at positions 1 to 922 of the family's 1478-position model. The record is from RNAcentral.